RNAcentral lists this ribosomal RNA (201 nucleotides) under uncultured bacterium. RNAcentral describes it as "partial 16S ribosomal RNA". It matches the Rfam family "Bacterial small subunit ribosomal RNA", at positions 1300 to 1500 of the family's 1533-position model. The record is from RNAcentral.
GUAGUCUGCAACCCGACUACAUGAAGCUGGAAUCGCUAGUAAUCGCGAAUCAGAAUGUCGCGGUGAAUACGUUCCCGGGUCUUGUACACACCGCCCGUCACACCAUGGGAGUCGGAAAUGCCCGAAGUCAGUGACCUAACCGAAAGGGAGGAGCUGCCGAAGGUGGAGCCGGUAACUGGGGUGAAGUCGUAACAAGGUAUC